GACGAACGCUGGCGGCGUGCUUAACACAUGCAAGUCGAACGGAAAGGCCCUGCUUUUGUGGGGUGCUCGAGUGGCGAACGGGUGAGUAACACGUGAGUAACCUGCCCUUGACUUUGGGAUAACUUCAGGAAACUGGGGCUAAUACCGGAUAGGAGCUCCUGCUGCAUGGUGGGGGUUGGAAAGUUUCGGCGGUUGGGGAUGGACUCGCGGCUUAUCAGCUUGUUGGUGGGGUAGUGGCUUACCAAGGCUUUGACGGGUAGCCGGCCUGAGAGGGUGACCGGCCACAUUGGGACUGAGAUACGGCCCAGACUCCUACGGGAGGCAGCAGUGGGGAAUAUUGCACAAUGGGCGGAAGCCUGAUGCAGCAACGCCGCGUGCGGGAUGACGGCCUUCGGUUUGUAAACCGCUUUCGCCUGUAACGAAGCCUGAUUGACGGUAAUGGGUAAAGAAGCACCGGCUAAUUACGUG
This 468-nucleotide ribosomal RNA is filed under the name uncultured bacterium. RNAcentral's name for it is "partial 16S ribosomal RNA". It matches the Rfam family "Bacterial small subunit ribosomal RNA", at positions 28 to 507 of the family's 1533-position model. The record is from RNAcentral.